This 483-nucleotide ribosomal RNA is filed under the name uncultured bacterium. RNAcentral describes it as "partial 16S ribosomal RNA". It matches the Rfam family "Bacterial small subunit ribosomal RNA", at positions 29 to 507 of the family's 1533-position model. The record is from RNAcentral.
UUGAACGCUGGCGGCAUGCUUUACACAUGCACGUCGAACGGCAGCGCGGGCUCCGGCCUGGCGGCGAGUGGCGAACGGGUGAGUAAUACAUCGGAACGUGCCCAGUAGUGGGGGAUAGCUCGGCGAAAGCCGGAUUAAUACCGCAUACGACCUGAGGGUGAAAGCGGGGGAUCUUCGGACCUCGCGCUAUUGGAGCGGCCGAUGGCAGAUUAGCUAGUUGGUGGGGUAAAGGCCUACCAAGGCGACGAUCUGUAGCUGGUCUGAGAGGACGACCAGCCACACUGGGACUGAGACACGGCCCAGACUCCUACGGGAGGCAGCAGUGGGGAAUUUUGGACAAUGGGCGAAAGCCUGAUCCAGCAAUGCCGCGUGUGUGAUGAAGGCCUUCGGGUUGUAAAGCACUUUUGGCGGGAACGAAAAGGACUGUGCCAAUACCACGGUUCGAUGACGGUACCCGCAGAAUAAGCACCGGCUAACUACGUG